RNAcentral lists this unclassified non-coding RNA (346 nucleotides) under uncultured fungus. RNAcentral describes it as "sequence contains ITS1". Lineage: Eukaryota; Fungi. The record is from RNAcentral.
UAAUCCGAGAAUUUCACCUCCAACACCAUCAUACGAAUGCCCCCGGCUGUCCCUCUUAAUCAUUAUCUCAAGUUCCGAAAACCAACAAAAUAGAACCGAGAUCCUAUUCCAUUAUUCCAUGCAACAUUAUUCAGGCGAACGCCUGCUUUGAACACUCUAAUUUUUUCAAGGUAAACGUUCCGGCCACCCGAGACACUCAGUUAAGAGCACCAAGGGAACACCGGAUGGUAGGUCGAGACAAGCAGUAACCACCGCGAGGUGGACCGCAGGCCCAGACCCGAGAUCCAACUACGAGCUUUUUAACUGCAACAACUUUAAUAUACGCUAUUGGAGCUGGAAUUACCGC